AAAGUCGUAACAAGGUAACCGUAGGUGAACCUGCGGUUGGAUCAUUAAAAAAGUGGGGAUGUUUGCAUCCCUUUUAGGGCGAAAGCCCUAUAAACCUUGUGCAAUUUGGCAGGACUCUGGGCCUGCCCAAGUAUAAACAACCACUUUUAAAGUCUGAAUGAGAAACACCAAUGAGAAACAACUUUUGACAACGGAUCUCUUGGCUCUC
Molecule: unclassified non-coding RNA, 208 nt
Filed under: Chytridiomycota sp.
Lineage: Eukaryota; Fungi; Chytridiomycota
Description: partial contains small subunit ribosomal RNA, internal transcribed spacer 1, and 5.8S ribosomal RNA
Rfam family: Eukaryotic small subunit ribosomal RNA (bases 1-47)
Source: RNAcentral